GCAGCCGUCCCACCGGUCGCCACAGCGGCGGCCCUCCGAAGGCAGAGGUCACACGUUCGAAUCGUGUCGGGUGCACCA
Molecule: transfer RNA, 78 nt
Filed under: Alphaproteobacteria bacterium HGW-Alphaproteobacteria-3
Lineage: Bacteria; Pseudomonadati; Pseudomonadota; Alphaproteobacteria
Description: tRNA-Arg
Source: RNAcentral